UCAGCAGCAGCCAGCGGCUGGUGGGUCCCCAGUGCAGAGCCUCGCGCCUGGAGAGUGCUGCAGCUGAGAACCCGGGCGUGCAGGGGGAUGAGCUGUUCUGUGUCGGGCCCCCCAGCACAUACCAGGUCCCUUAUUGGGAGCAGCCCCGCCUGCCCAGCUACGAGAGCGUGCGGAAGAAGGAUCGCCAACGGGAGAUCCACCAGAUGAUUGCCGACAGGUUCGGGCUGUGGGCAGAGCCUUCCCAGGAGAUGCCGCCUCCCUAUGAGCAUGCUCUGAGGCAUCCUCCAGCUUUCUCAGGACCAGUGAUAAGCUCAGAGACCUUGGACAGACGUGGCGUUCCAGACUCUUUCCAGGCCCCUCCUGGCUACCAACCUCAGCGAAACACAGCCGUGUAAGGCCUCGGUGUGCUGCUUCUUCCUGUGGUGUCAGCGGCAGAAGUGCCUGUGACAUCGUUCUCAUCCGCAGGGAAUGGCCAAAUGUCAGACCUUUGCCCAGGUUUGCCAUCAGCUGAGACACAGGCAAGUCAGACCUGGCCAGCAGAGACAUCCCUCCUGCAGCACAAGGACAACCACGGAGCCACUGCCAGGCAGAGCAACUAGGGAUGUGUGCUCACUCUUUGGCAAACGUACUGUCACCAAAGGCAAGAGACCAGCUGCUUGCUUCCACACAGGGGGCAAAGCCAAGGAGAAGGUCUGCUCAGCCAGAGCUCCUCCAGGCAGCUGGUGUAUGGCACCUCUGUGAGGCGAGCACUGCCAGCUGGACCAAGGAUCAGACCUCAGACAGUCACAGUGUUGUGCUACUUCACUUAUUUCUUAGGUUAUGAAAUGUUUUACUUUAUCAGUGUAUUGGCUGCCAGGUGGGAAUCCUCACCUGAGAGCAGCAGAACGGGUCAGCAUGAGAGCACUGCUGUGUGCUCCUGCAGCAAUGGUCCUCUGUGACCAACAGCGAUGUUGUAUGGACUUUACAUAAAGAUCUGGAGAGGCUCCAGGGGUAGUGUCACCUGCUAUAUGCAAAUCCCAACCACAGAGAAUGAACUGUGUGACUGGGAAAGGACAGAAAUGCAGCCAAAAUAGCUGGUGAACUACGAACCACAGGGAAUGUAAAGCAAAGGUGGACAGGCGUGGCUGACCUGAUUUACUUAGUUGUCUUCUGCAGAGCAGACAAUCUAACAGCAUCCACACCGGUGUCCUUACACCACCAAUUUUGAUAACCUGUUUUCUACUGCAGAGCCAAUGUUUCAAAUUGUUUACAAACAAUGAUAAAAUUGAGAUAAAAUGAGAUCAGU
This 1285-nucleotide long non-coding RNA is filed under the name Strigops habroptila (Kakapo). Its description in RNAcentral is "lncRNA (ENSSHBG00005015194.1)". Lineage: Eukaryota; Metazoa; Chordata; Aves; Psittaciformes; Psittacidae. The record is from RNAcentral.